RNAcentral lists this non-coding RNA (25 nucleotides) under Mus musculus (house mouse). Lineage: Eukaryota; Metazoa; Chordata; Mammalia; Rodentia; Muridae. The record is from RNAcentral.
UGAGGAAGGGUGUAAGAGGGCAAGG